Molecule: long non-coding RNA, 400 nt
Filed under: Gallus gallus (chicken)
Lineage: Eukaryota; Metazoa; Chordata; Aves; Galliformes; Phasianidae
Description: long non-coding RNA NONGGAT007875
Source: RNAcentral
GAACCAAGCUGUGGACUCUUGCGUGCCGUCCCGGAGAGCCGUGGUAGCUGAGGUCCGGUGCAGCUGUUUCCUUCGAGGACGCCUGGCCUCUGAGCAACCCUGUUUACAAGAGGUGGUGCUUCCGACCCCUGUCCUGAUGGCCGUACGUCACCCGUUUGCUUAGUGAAGCUCCGUGGCUGCAGGAGGUUGGCUGGGAGAGCUGACAUUGCGCUCCUUCCUCACCGCCCCCGUGUUGUGGACGCAUCCUGCAGAGCGGCUGGAGGCUCUCUGGGGACACCUUGGUUCCAUUUUCAGACUCCAGCUCCUUUUAUCUCCCCUGGAAUCCGCUGUCUGGCACGUCGCACGUGAAAUCGCCGCUGGCUCCGGAGCCCUGGGAAGUCUCUACCCAUCACACAGAGCA